GAUGAACGCUGGCGGCGUGCCUAAUACAUGCAAGUCGAGCGAGUGGAUUAAGAGCUUGCUCUUAUGAAGUUAGCGGCGGACGGGUGAGUAACACGUGGGUAACCUGCCCAUAAGACUGGGAUAACUCCGGGAAACCGGGGCUAAUACCGGAUAACAUUUUGAACCGCAUGGUUCGAAAUUGAAAGGCGGCUUCGGCUGUCACUUAUGGAUGGACCCGCGUCGCAUUAGCUAGUUGGUGAGGUAACGGCUCACCAAGGCAACGAUGCGUAGCCGACCUGAGAGGGUGAUCGGCCACACUGGGACUGAGAAGCGGCCCAGACUCCUACGGGAGGCAGCAGUAGGGAAUCUUCCGCAAUGGACGAAAGUCUGACGGAGCAACGCCGCGUGAGUGAUGAAGGCUUUCGGGUCGUAAAACUCUGCUGUUAGGGAAGAACAAGUGCUAGUUGAAUAAGCUGGCACCUUGACGGUACCUAACCAGAAAGCCACGGCUAACUACGUGCCAGCCGCCGCAGUAA
Molecule: ribosomal RNA, 515 nt
Filed under: uncultured bacterium
Lineage: Bacteria
Description: partial 16S ribosomal RNA
Rfam family: Bacterial small subunit ribosomal RNA
Source: RNAcentral